Molecule: long non-coding RNA, 778 nt
Organism: Oncorhynchus keta (chum salmon)
Lineage: Eukaryota; Metazoa; Chordata; Actinopteri; Salmoniformes; Salmonidae
Exons: 2
Source: RefSeq, a predicted model, not a curated record
AGAGAGGGAGAGACCUGGAAGAGAGGGAGAGACCUGGAAGAGAGGGAGAGACCGGGAAGAGAGGGAGAGACCGGGAAGAGAGGGAGAGACCGGGAAGAAGGGGGUAUACCAGUUUGUACUCAAGAGAUUCUAUAAAUCUGUUCGUAUGUGAAAUUCUAUGGUUGUAUGUGAAAUUCUAUCUCAGGAGUAGGACCUGGUAUCUACACUGGAACCAAUCUACCAUUCUAACUCAGAAUGAAGCUACGUAAGAACUAGGACUGGUAAUCAAGGACAAUGAUUCCAAAGAUGAUUUAAUCUCUCGAAGAUUCCAAUUCCGGGCAGAGGCCUGAUGGGAGUUCCGGAGUGGAGUUUCCCUGUUUCCUCCCUCCUUUGUUAUUUCUAUUGAAAGGUUGCACCUUCGUGUCAUGUGUCACGCCUUGGUCUUAGUAUUUUGUGUUUUCUUUAUUAUUUGUUCAGGCCAGGGUGUGACAUGGGUUUAUAUAUUGUAUUUACGUAUUGGGGUUUGUAGUAUUUGGGAUUGCGGCUGAGUAGGGGUGUUGUAUAGGCUUGGCUGCCUGAGGCGGUUCUCAAUCAGAGUCAGGUGAUUCUCGUUGUCUCUGAUUGGGAACCGUAUUUAGGUAGCCUGAGUUUCACUGUGUAUUUCGUGGGUGAUUGUUCCUGUCUCUGUGUAGUUUCACCAGAUAGGCUGUAAUUAGGUUUCACGUUCCGUUUGUUGUUUUGUAUUUUGUAUCGUUAUUUCAUGUGUCACUUUUUCCAUUAAAGUCAUGAGUAACCACCA